Molecule: long non-coding RNA, 906 nt
Organism: Lepidothrix coronata (blue-crowned manakin)
Lineage: Eukaryota; Metazoa; Chordata; Aves; Passeriformes; Pipridae
Exons: 2
Source: RefSeq, a predicted model, not a curated record
UCCCUCAGGAACUCCUCUGAGGGCUGAGGGGCCAUGGGGCCUGCCCGGCCCGGCACAGAGACCCCUCAGCUCCCGGCUGGGUGUGCCUGGGGACACCGAGAGCUCACCGAGCCCACACCAGGCACACACUGCCCGGCUCUCACACACCUCACAGGGCCGAGGGCAGGGCCAGCAGAGCCGCCCCACGGCCCACCCGCUGCAGGACUCACACACCACCCUCACGGUGCCGGGUCCCAGCUCUUCCCACAGGAACUGCCACUCCUCGCCCGCUGGUGCUGGGUGAGGGCAGCGAGAGCUAAACAAAAGGAAAGCAGUAUCACUCAUCAAAGUUGAACAGAAACCUUUCCUAAAUCUACAUGAGGAGAUUCUGACAGCAGUUUCCUGUUCUUCCAAAGAAUACUGUAGCUCCAAAGUGAGACUGAGGAUGUUCUGAAGGCAAACGAUCUGACCCAAGAUUCAAAAACACUUAGAAGGAAAAAACAAGAAUUUUCACCACUGGACUUUACUUUUUGGGAUGCCACUGUGAGCAACUACUUGCACUGGAGGUCCAAUGUUGGUAAAAAAAAAAAAAAAGCCACUGAAGACAAAACACUGAAAAGUACUAACAGUGCUACACCAUCAGUCGCUGGUGCCACGUGUUACAUCUGCAUUAUGUGCAGCAAAACCUGGUGCUCCGGGAUUUAAUACAAAUUUUGCAUGACUUAUCUGAGGUUCACUCAGAUGAAGCAAACUGCAUGAAGUCACAGGAACAUUUUGGUAGCAGAAUCUGAAAGAGUACAUCAACACUGUCUGUGAGCGCACUGCCAAAACCACGGGAAUGCACACAUAAUAAAAUAUCAACUUGAAUAAAUAUCUGGAAGCUGAUACACUGUGUAAGCUCAGGAAUUAAAAUAAUAUUCAGAGUGA